RNAcentral lists this non-coding RNA (80 nucleotides) under unclassified sequences. Its description in RNAcentral is "Flavo-1 RNA". It matches the Rfam family "Flavo-1 RNA". RNAcentral also lists the same sequence under 1 other name. The record is from RNAcentral.
UUUUAGCCCCGAUUGUAACGGAAAUCCUUUUUAAUUUUUCUUUAAAAUUANAAAAAUUGUAGUGGAAAGCGGGAAAUAGC